RNAcentral lists this ribosomal RNA (253 nucleotides) under uncultured bacterium. RNAcentral describes it as "partial 16S ribosomal RNA". It matches the Rfam family "Bacterial small subunit ribosomal RNA", at positions 524 to 776 of the family's 1533-position model. The record is from RNAcentral.
UACGGGGGGGGUAAGCGUUGUUCGGAAUUACUGGGCGUAAAGGGCUCGUAGGCGGCUUUCUAAGUCGGGGGUGAAAUCCUGGAGCUCAACUCCAGAACUGCCUUCGAUACUGGAAAGCUCGAGUCCGGGAGAGGUGAGUGGAACUGCGAGUGUAGAGGUGAAAUUCGUAGAUAUUCGCAAGAACACCAGUGGCGAAGGCGGCUCACUGGCCCGGUACUGACGCUGAGGUGCGAAAGCGUGGGGAGCAAACAGG